AGAGUUGAUCAUGGCUCAGGAUGAACGCUGGCGGCGUGCUAACACAUGCAAGUCGAACGAAGCAUUUUAAACAGAUUCUUCGGGAUGAAGUUUUUAAUGACUGAGUGGCGGACGGGUGAGUAACGCGUGGGUAACCUGCCUCACACAGGGGGAUAGCAGCUGGAAACGGCUGGUAAUACCGCAUAAGCGCACAGUACCGCAUGGUACGGUGUGAAAAACUCCGGUGGUGUGAGAUGGACCCGCGUCUGAUUAGCUUGUUGGCGGGGUAACGGCCCACCAAGGCGACGAUCAGUAGCCGACCUGAGAGGGUGAUCGGCCACAUUGGGACUGAGACACGGCCCAAACUCCUACGGGAGGCAGCAGUGGGGAAUAUUGGGCAAUGGGGGAAACCCUGACCCAGCAACGCCGCGUGGAGGAAGAAGGUUUUCGGAUCGUAAACUCCUGUCCUCARGGAARARCAGAAGACGGUACCUGAGGAGGAAGCCCCGGCUAACUACGUGCCAGCAGCCGCGGUAAUACGUAGGGGGCAAGCGUUGUCCGGAAUGAUUGGGCGUAAAGGGCACGUAGGCGGCCUGGUAAGUCUGGAGUGAAAGUCCUUUUUUCAAGGAGGGAAUUGCUUUGGAUACUGCUGGGCUUGAGUGCAGGAGAGGUAAGUGGAAUUCCCAGUGUAGCGGUGAAAUGCGUAAAGAUUGGGAGGAACACCAGUGGCGAAGGCGACUUACUGGACUGUAACUGACGCUGAGGCGCGAAAGUGUGGGGAGCAUCAGGAUUAGAUACCCUGGUAGUCCACACUGUAAACGA
This 801-nucleotide ribosomal RNA is filed under the name uncultured Bacillota bacterium. RNAcentral describes it as "bacterial SSU rRNA". It matches the Rfam family "Bacterial small subunit ribosomal RNA", at positions 8 to 809 of the family's 1533-position model. The record is from RNAcentral. Lineage: Bacteria; Bacillati; Bacillota.